CCUACGGGGUGCAGCAGUAGGGAAUUUUCGUCAAUGGGCGCAAGCCUGAACGAGCAAUGCCGCGUGAACGAGGAAGGUCUUCGGAUCGUAAAGUUCUUUUCUCAGGGACGAAGAAAGUGACGGUACCUGAGGAAUAAGCCACGGCUAACUACGUGCCAGCAGCCGCGGUAAUACGUAGGUGGCAAGCGUUAUCCGGAUUUAUUGGGUGUAAAGGGCGUGUAGGCGGGAGCGCAAGUCAGAUGUGAAAACUCAGGGCUCAACCCUGAGCCUGCAUUUGAAACUGUGUUUCUUGAGUGCUGGGGAGGCAAUCGGAAUUCCGUGUGUAGCGGUGAAAUGCGUAGAUAUACGGAGGAACACCAGUGGCGAAGGCGGAUUGCUGGACAGUAACUGACGCUGAGGCGCGAAAGCGUGGGGAGCAAACAGGAUUAGAUACCCUAGUAGUC
This 443-nucleotide ribosomal RNA is filed under the name uncultured bacterium. RNAcentral describes it as "partial 16S ribosomal RNA". It matches the Rfam family "Bacterial small subunit ribosomal RNA", at positions 338 to 795 of the family's 1533-position model. The record is from RNAcentral.